AUGGAUGAGGAAAGAAUUAGAGAAUGUGGAGGAGAAGGAGGCUGGUGUGUCACUCUUAAGUGGCAAUGGGUAGAGGCACGUAAUCAGUUAUUGAGUGGUAUUCCCGAACAGGAACGGAAAAAACAAAAAGGUAAGUAUCAGCAGAAAUAUGAGGAAGUGAUCAGUAAGUACGGAUUGCAUGACGAGGAUUUUGCGGAUUUGGCAGCCCUCCUGAUGCAGGAGGAUCAGAGAGCAUUGAGGGAAGUGGAAGAACUAAAGAAGACAACAGCAAGUGGAAUAAUGAUGAAGAGGAAGUGGAAGAAGGAAAUGGAGGAAAAGGAAGCUCACAGACUGAUGGUGCAUAAUAUGGCACUUGCGGUGAGAGCGAUGCAGGUUCGGACGGCAGUAGGUGAUAAGAAAGAGACAGGUAAGUGUGCGAAGAACAGAAAGAAUACGGAGGCUCGUCCGUCCCCGCCUGAAGCGCCCCCACCACCACCUCCUAUUCAGGCCCCGGUCUGGCGGAUAAGGGGAGGAGAGUUAGAUGUGGAGGAAGAAAGGGAAGAUAUUGGGUAUUUAUUGGGAGAUUUAGAGCAGGGGAAGAUGGAGGUAGGGAGUCGGACAUCCACACCGUUAGAGGCGGAGGGCCGACGUAGAGGGAGUGAGAAUAAGGCCAGUGUAAGGGACGAGGGAACAGUAAGUCAGAAGAAGGUGGAGCCAUUUCAGGUGAGACAGGAUAGGGAAUGUAGGGAGAGACAGAAUCAGUGGGAUAGAGAGGAAGAGACAUUGAUUGACUUAGGGAUAGAUGAGGAAGAUGUAGUGGAGAAUGAGAAUGGGCAAGAGGGGGUGGGGGUCACCCUGAGAGGUCAGCUGCAGGUGCAUGAGCCACAGCAAGCACCCAGAUAUCUGUUGAGAAGCCAUGCUCCAGCCCCACCCAUACAAGCGCCCCUCUUGAUGAAAGGGGGAAGGCACCAGUACAGACCAUGGUCAUUUGCGGAUAUGAAUGGAAUAGUGGAAAAACUCCCACAUCCUACAGAGGGAGGAGGUAAGUGGUUAAAUAAGUUUGAACAAAUUACACAGGGACAAAAAGUGGCCUUAGGUGACUGGAGAGCUCUGAUGGGACAGGUACUCUCAGUUUGGGAUGUCAAUCAAAUUGAAGAAAGUGCUGGAUGCAUCCACUCACCAGACUGCACCCCAUUUAUUGAGUUGGCUACUCAAAUUGGAAAAGCAAUGCGUGUAAAGUUCCCAGCCCCGCGGGGGCUGCGCACCUUCUCACAUUUGCCCCUAAAGCAGGUGAGAGGCCAACUACAUAUCUUAAUCGAUGUAAAGACGAAUGGACUAAUUCCGUGGGGGUUCAUCCACAUUCAGAGAAAAUUCAGGAGGAACUUUUCCGGAAGGCGGUGCUGGGAGGAGCCCCUAAGUCCGUGA
RNAcentral lists this long non-coding RNA (1404 nucleotides) under Mastacembelus armatus (zig-zag eel). RNAcentral describes it as "lncRNA (ENSMAMG00000025703.1)". The record is from RNAcentral. Lineage: Eukaryota; Metazoa; Chordata; Actinopteri; Synbranchiformes; Mastacembelidae.